This 72-nucleotide transfer RNA is filed under the name Camelus bactrianus (Bactrian camel). It matches the Rfam family "tRNA". From Rfam's summary of the family: Transfer RNA (tRNA) molecules are approximately 80 nucleotides in length. Their secondary structure includes four short double-helical elements and three loops (D, anti-codon, and T loops). The record is from Rfam by way of RNAcentral. Lineage: Eukaryota; Metazoa; Chordata; Mammalia; Artiodactyla; Camelidae. RNAcentral also lists the same sequence under 3 other names.
GAGGAUAUAGCUCAGUGGUAGAGUGCAUGCUUAGCAUGCACAAGGUGCUGGGUUCAAUCCCCAGUACUGCCA